RNAcentral lists this ribosomal RNA (744 nucleotides) under uncultured bacterium. RNAcentral describes it as "bacterial SSU rRNA". It matches the Rfam family "Bacterial small subunit ribosomal RNA", at positions 8 to 796 of the family's 1533-position model. The record is from RNAcentral.
AGAGUUUGAUCAUGGCUCAGAGCGAACGCUGGCGGCAGGCUUAACACAUGCAAGUCGAGCGGGCACCUUCGGGUGCCAGCGGCAGACGGGUGAGUAACACGUGGGAACGUGCCCUUUGGUUCGGAACAACUCCGGGAAACUGGAGCUAAUACCGGAUAAGCCCUUCGGGGGAAAGAUUUAUCGCCAAAGGAUCGGCCCGCGUCUGAUUAGCUUGUUGGUGAGGUAAUGGCUCACCAAGGCGACGAUCAGUAGCUGGUCUGAGAGGAUGAUCAGCCACACUGGGACUGAGACACGGCCCAGACUCCUACGGGAGGCAGCAGUGGGGAAUAUUGGACAAUGGGCGCAAGCCUGAUCCAGCCAUGCCGCGUGAGUGAUGAAGGCCCUAGGGUUGUAAAGCUCUUUCGGCGGGGACGAUAAUGACGGUACCCGCAGAAGAAGCCCCGGCUAACUUCGUGCCAGCAGCCGCGGUAAUACGAAGGGGGCUAGCGUUGCUCGGAAUCACUGGGCGUAAAGGGCGCGUAGGCGGCCAUUCAAGUCAGGGGUGAAAGCCUGUGGCUCAACCACAGAAUUGCCUUUGAUACUGUUUGGCUAGAGACCGGAAGAGGUAAGUGGAACUGCGAGUGUAGAGGUGAAAUUCGUAGAUAUUCGCAAGAACACCAGUGGCGAAGGCGGCUUACUGGUCCGGUUCUGACGCUGAGGCGCGAAAGCGUGGGGAGCAAACAGGAUUAGAUACCCUAGUAGUCC